AGUGAGCGCUGGCGGUAGGCCUAACACAUGCAAGUCGAACGGCAGCACAGUAAGAGCUUGCUCUUACGGGUGGCGAGUGGCGGACGGGUGAGGAAUACAUCGGAAUCUACUUUUUCGUGGGGGAUAACGUAGGGAAACUUACGCUAAUACCGCAUACGACCUACGGGUGAAAGCAGGGGAUCUUCGGACCUUGCGCGAUUGAAUGAGCCGAUGUCGGAUUAGCUAGUUGGCGGGGUAAAGGCCCACCAAGGCGACGCUCCGUAGCUGGUCUGAGAGGAUGAUCAGCCACACUGGAACUGAGAAACGGUCCAGACCCCUACGGGAGGCAGCAGGGGGGAAUAUUGGACAAGGGGCGGAAGCCUGAUCCAGCCAUGCCGGGGGGGGGAAGAAGGGCUUCGGGUUGGAAAGCCCUUUUAGUUGGGAGGAAAAGCAGGAAGUUAAUACCCUGCUGUUUUGGCGGGACCAAAAGAAAAAGCACCGGCUAACUUCGUG
RNAcentral lists this ribosomal RNA (492 nucleotides) under uncultured bacterium. RNAcentral describes it as "partial 16S ribosomal RNA". It matches the Rfam family "Bacterial small subunit ribosomal RNA", at positions 29 to 507 of the family's 1533-position model. The record is from RNAcentral.